Molecule: ribosomal RNA, 835 nt
Filed under: uncultured bacterium
Lineage: Bacteria
Description: bacterial SSU rRNA
Rfam family: Bacterial small subunit ribosomal RNA
Source: RNAcentral
UGCAGUCGAGGGGCAGCAUGGAAGUUUGCUUGCAAACUUUUGAUGGCGACCGGCGCACGGGUGAGUAACACGUAUCCAACCUGCCUCAUACUCGGGGAUAGCCUUUCGAAAGAAAGAUUAAUACCCGAUGUCAUAGUCCUACCGCAUGAUGGGAUUAUUAAAGAAUUUCGGUAUGGGAUGGGGAUGCGUUCCAUUAGUUAGUUGGCGGGGUAACGGCCCACCAAGACAACGAUGGAUAGGGGUUCUGAGAGGAAGGUCCCCCACAUUGGAACUGAGACACGGUCCAAACUCCUACGGGAGGCAGCAGUGAGGAAUAUUGGUCAAUGGACGAGAGUCUGAACCAGCCAAGUAGCGUGAAGGAUGACCGCCCUAUGGGUUGUAAACUUCUUUUAUAUGGGAAUAAAAUGUUCCACGUGUGGGAUUUUGUAUGUACCAUAUGAAUAAGGAUCGGCUAACUCCGUGCCAGCAGCCGCGGUAAUACGGAGGAUCCGAGCGUUAUCCGGAUUUAUUGGGUUUAAAGGGAGCGUAGGUGGAUUGUUAAGUCAGUUGUGAAAGUUUGCGGCUCAACCGUAAAAUUGCAGUUGAAACUGGCAGUCUUGAGUACAGUAGAGGUGGGCGGAAUUCGUGGUGUAGCGGUGAAAUGCUUAGAUAUCACGAAGAACUCCGAUUGCGAAGGCAGCUCACUGGACUGCAACUGACACUGAGGCUCGAAAGUGUGGGUAUCAAACAGGAUUAGAUACCCUGGUAGUCCACACAGUAAACGAUGAAUACUCGCUGUUUGCGAUAUACGGCAAGCGGCCAAGCGAAAGCAUUAAGUAUUCCACCUGGGGAGUAC